Long non-coding RNA from Homo sapiens (human), 24534 nucleotides. RefSeq lists it as uncharacterized. Lineage: Eukaryota; Metazoa; Chordata; Mammalia; Primates; Hominidae. The record is from RefSeq and is a predicted model, not a curated record. The transcript has 10 exons.
UCUCUGACCCAAUGCAUUGGCAACAUCAUCAACUCUACCAGACCACCAGAAGUAGCCGUCUUCAUCCAUGAUCCCUCUGUCACCUGUGAGCUAGAAACAAGAGUAAUGAUGGCACUUCACUCAGAGGUUUGUCCUGAGGCUUAAAUGAGGCAACAUGGACACAGCAUUUUAGCACAAGGCCAGAUGUGAUGGUGCUGAUGUUUAAGAAGAAAGUCCUUAUUAGGAGGAUGCUGCUGAAAUAUUUAAGGACAAAGUGUCAUAAUGUCUGCAUUUACUCCCAAAUGUCUCAUCAAAAAUGUGCAAAUAUGAAGUAAAUGGGGCAAAAUCUUAAUAAGAAGUGAAUGUAGGUGGUGAAGCCCCCUAAUGUCCUGACUCCACAGUUCCUGUCCCAUGACCAGGGCCAGCUCACCAAAGAGCUAUAGCAGCACAUAAAGUCAGUGACAGGCCCAUGCAAGUACCAAAGGAAGGUGAGUGAGCACAGACAGAUGGGGCCUGGUGCCCUUGAGCAGUUUCUGACUUUCAGCUGCCCUGUGUCUCAUAGCGUGGCCAUGCUGGGGGAAGCUUAGGCAGUCACAGUACUGGCCUUUUCCUCCUUUUUCAUUCCAUCUGAGUGGCUUAGGGAUGGGGUGGAUGAAAACCACUGUCUUGUGUCAGAAACCCAAAAGGAAUCAUUGCUGGCAUGUUAAGCUAAAGAAAAACAACCAGACAAGUGCCCAACAGUACUUAAAAAGUUAUAAUCCUGCAAAAUUCAAAAAGGGAAAUCCAAAUAAGCAGCUUCUAAACUAUUUUUAAACAUUACAAUAAAAAUACCUUCCAUAUUGCAUAUAUAUGUGCUUAUAUGAAUAAUAGAAUUAACAAAACAUAGUUAUUUUAUAACAUGUAAUACAUUCUUAUUUUUAAUUCUCUUUCAUUUGUUUUAAAUGCUGUGUGCAAUCUACAAAAAGUUCAAUAGUAAUAAUUAAAUUAUUCAUUAAAUUGAGCAUUACUUGUAAUUUAAAAUGAUAAUCUUAAACACAAUCUUAUUUUUGAGAUAAAAAUAUUUUAGCAAUAUACUAUUAAGAGAAAAACACUGGCUAUGAAAGAAUUUACAUAGUUUCAUCCUAUCUGUUUGAAAAUAAAGUUUGGAAGAAUACAUUUGAAAAAUAGUUAACAUUUCCUUUUUUGUAGUACUUUGCGGCAUUGUCUAAAUAUUGACAGUCAAUACACAUUAUGAAGUUACAUGGUUAACGUUGAUUGAGUACUCACUGUGUGUGCCAGGCCCUGGGCUCAGUGCUCUGUGUGCAUUUUUAUUUUAUUUAAUCCUCUCCACAAUGUGAGAUAGUAUAGCCAACUCAUGUUACAGAGGUGAAACAGGCUCAGAGAUUGAAAGUUAAAUGCCUGAGGUUGCAGUCAAUAAGAGGAAGAGCUGUAACUGAAACCUAUGUGUGUCUGACGAGCAGUUCAUGUUCUGAUGGUAGGCUAGUCUGCUUAACAGAGUGUGGAAUAGAUGGUGCAUGCAUACUAGGAUGGGCUAGAUACCACUGUGGGUCACAAACAGUCUUAAACAAUGGAGGUUGUUUUCCUGCUCAUGCUGCACGUCCAUCAUGGCUCUCCUGGGCCCUGUGCACCACAUCUUCUUAUCCUGCUGCCAGGGUAAAGGAGCAGCCUCCAUGUGGAACCUGUCAGGUGCUCUCGGAGAUAGAGAAGAGGGUGUCCAGUCUCAAUGGCUCCCAACUCUUCUGCCUCAAGGUGACAUGCUUCGCUUCCACUCACUUUUGGGUCAAAGCAAAUCACAUGGCUACACCCAACUUAAACGGCCCACGUGGAGAAGCUGAAAUACUCAGUGGACACCAUUAAGGCCACCAUAUGGUGUUAGCCUGUGUGGGAGACUGUGGAGGGGCAGAGGAGGAGAGUAGGGGAUUGGUAGGAAAUGACAGCAGGACUAAGUCACCACAGAUUUGCUUUAUCUUCAGCCAGGUGGAGUUUGUCCCAGAGCUGCCAAAAACCGUCACUGGCAAGAUUAAACGGGAACUUCAAGUUUGGUCAGAUGUAGUCAGCAGUGAACUCAGAAAUGACUGAAUGACAUUGAGUCAGUAAAUCCCUGACUGCCUCAGUUACCCCACAUGAUAGUGGUGAGGAUGGGAGCAUUGAAAGAGUUGAUUUGGAAGGAUAUCAGGAGUGUGAAAAUUCCAACAUUUUACUUCAAGUUAAAUCCAGGCACUAUCCUUCCUGCAAGUCCCCUGUUUCUUUCAGAUUGCACAGGUGAGAGUGCUCAGAUUAGGGCUGUAGGUUAUAAAAUAUUGGCUCCCACAUGAACAGUUCCCCUGUGUCGUGUUUGUAUUCUGAGCAUUUUUCUGUGCUAAACACUUCCCCAAAACAUCCUGGGUCCUGAUUCUUCCUCCUUGUUCUGUCAGUGCUGGGUGACGCAAGUGCCCAUUUUUUGGCCAGGACACAGAAGUCUCAGAGGGAUGCUCUGUGAGGCCCCAGGUGCCAGCCUCUGCCCUGCUGGAAUGUGAGGCAAGGGACAGGGCAUCUUCUGUGAGGGGGCAGUGGUCAGCCAGCUUGGUGACUAUGCUUGCUUAUCAGACCAUCCCACACCUGCCACCUCUGAUGAAUCUACUGCCUCUGUGCCUGCCUGUACUGCUGAUACAGGACUCACUCAGCUGUCCCCAGGCGUGCCCAGACUUUCAUUCCUAUCCAGAACCUAGGAGUCCUGCCCACUGGCCCUCCCUCAUCAGCAGUAAAUGAUGAUUUACUGCUGUUAUCAUCAUGACUGCCUUUAGCAUCUGAGAACUUUCCAGGGUGCCAGCUCUGGAAGGACAGAUGCCCUUGGGAGGUGCUGACACUCAGGUACACAGGUGCUCAACAGAUUUCUUCCUCCUGUCCUCAGACAGUCUUUGCAUGUAGCCAUUGGCACUCCCAUUGUAUGGAAGGAAACCAGCCCAGGGUCACACAGCUGGUCAGCAGCACAGCUGGUCUCAAAUCCAAGGUGCUUGGCCUUGCCUCCAUGAGGGACCUGCCUGUGAGGUUGACACUGGCUUUGGGGAGCCUUUCCUGGGCUGCAUAAAUAACCUACCCUGUUUGAGGCCCCAAACUCUGCUCAUAUUGCCCUCCUUUCCUUAUGUCUACUUGGGCUAUAAUCAAGGUGACCCCAGCAACCCUUCACGGACAUUAUGGUAAUCUGUGCCGUUCACUUUUGUGCAGAUCUGACUUCAACCCCCUCUUGGUCUCUCCUUUUACAAGCAAGACAACUGAAACUGGGGGUCUUUAUGCAGCCAAGACUGACCAUGAGGAACACUUGGAGCUCAGGAAGGAAAGAUCAGCCCAGAAGCAGGGACAGGGAGCUGGUUGGGGAGGAUGAGAAGUCAGAAGGGGGCCCUGAGAAAACCAGGACAUGCGGGUCCAGUGGCUGCUGUUUUGGCUCCUCCUGCUUGGGUUUCCCAGCCAUCAAUCCACCCAUCUGGCACAGGAUUGACUCCUGGUGGAACCCAACUCAGUGAUCUGUGCAGUGUGGUGUUUUCCAAACUGGCCAAGGUGUCUGCAGGGCCCUCAGAAUUUUCCAAGCAAGAAAAGAUUUGGCUACUUGGAGAAACUUCAUCCUUCUGGAGGUUUGGACUAGUGGUAAACUCCUGUGAUUCUAAAGCAUUCCAUAGCAGAAUCCACUGAUGAUGACAAACUGAACCUUGGUGUUCCUGGAUUAGUGGGAGGUGGUGAAAGGAUUCUGUGGUAGUUCAGGUGUUCACAGCUCUCUUGCUUUUGACAGAAUUUCUUAAGUAUUUUUUUAAAAAGAAUUUAAAAAUUUAAAGCGAAUUACCAUAUCAUCUAGCAAUUCUACUUGUGGGUACAUACCUGAAAGAAAUGCAAGUAACUUAUCAUAGAGAUAUAUCCACACCCCUGUUCAUAGCAGCACUAUUCACAAUAUCCAAAAAGUAGAAACAUCACAAGUGACCACUGAGGAAGUAAUGUGGUGCAAAUAUACAAUGGAAGAUUAUUUAUCCUUAAAAGAAAGUAAAUUUUGACACAUGCUAUGCCAUGAAUGAAAUUUAAAGAUAUUAAUGCAAAGUGAAAUAAGACAGCCACAAUCAUACAAAAUACUAUGUGACUGGCUUAUCUAAGGUACCUAGAAAUACACAAGUUCAUAGAUAUAGAAAAUUUCUAUGGGUUGUUAUAUGGGGGGUAGUCAGGAAUAGGAGGAAAUUGAGGAUGGGUAGUUACUGUUUAAUGAUACAAAGUUCAGUUUUGCAAGAUGAAAAGAGUUCUUGAGACAGUGAUGUUUGUUGCAUAAUAAUUUGAAUGUAAUUAUGGAUGCUAAAAUAUACACUCUAAAUGAUCAAUAUAGUUAAUUUUGUUAUGUAUAUAUUAUCACAAUUAAUAAAAUAUCAUUUGUGUCUUAAAAAAAGUAUUACUUGUAUUAUCUAGACAUUAAAAUAGAAUGAGAAUACUUAGUGUUUAUUGAACAAAGCUACCCUGACAACUAUAGUAAAAUGAAGAUGCAAAAGAGCAUAAGGGAAGCCAUUCAUGGGGCAUGUAUUGGUGAAAAGCUGUGCCCUCAAAUACUUCACUCCUUGCAAUUCCUUUUUAUAGGCAUCACCUCCAGAAUCUACUUGAAGUGGAUGACACUGACUUCCAUGAACUGUUUUCCUGUGAGUAAUUUCUCCAUUUUAGACAGAGUUAUCCAUGGGAAGGUGAGUCUGAUCAAGCUGCUUGACCAUGAUCAGAACAAUUUGCUUCCCCAUUGCAUCAUCAAACUUUAAUUUAAAAAGCCCCACUUUCUGUCCGUCCCCAUAGCUCCUCCCUCACCCACCAAAAUGAGUCACUUGGGGCAGUGGUGGGCAGAUGAUUUCAGAUAUCCUGAUCUCAAUUCCCUGAUGUCAGUACGUCUGCACAUUCUUUGUUUUUUUUUUUUCAACUUUUAAGUUCUGGAGUACACAUACAGGAUAUGCAGGUUUGUUACAUAAGUAAACAUGUGCCAUCGUGGUUUGCUGCAAAGAUCAUAGCAUUACCUAGGUAUUAAGCCCAGCAUCCAUUAGUUAUUCCUCUUGAAGCUCUCCCUCCCCCAGCUCCCUGCUCCAAGAGGCCCCAGUGUGUGUUGCUUCCCUCUAGGUGUCCAUGUGUUCUCAUCAUCAAGCUCCCACUAAUAAGUGAGAACAUGUGGUAUUUUGUUUUCUGUUCCUGCAUUAGUUUGCUGAGGGUGAUGGCUUCCAACUCCAUCCAUGUCCCUGCAGAGGAGAUGAUCUCAUUCCUUUUUAUGGCUGUAUAGUAUUCCAUGGUGUGUAUGUACCACAUUUUCUUUAUCCAGUUUAUCAUUGAUGGGCAUUUAGGUUGAUUCCAUAUCUUCGCUAUUGCGAGUAGUGCUGCAAUAAACAUAUGCAUGCAUAUAUCUUUAUAAUAGAAUGAUAUAUAUUCCUUUGGAUAUAUACCUACUAAUGGGAUUGCUGGGUCAAAUGGUAUUUCUGCCUCUGGAUUUUUGAAAAAUCACAACACUGUCUUUCACAGUGCAAACCACCGUGAAACUAAUUUACACUCCCACCAACAGUGUAAAAGUUUUCAUUUUUCUCCACAAUCUUGCCAGCAUCUGUUGAUUUUUGACUUUUUAAUAAUAGCCAUUCUGACUGGCAUGACAUGGUAUGUCAUGUAUAUCAUUGUCAUUUUGAUUUGCAUUUCUCUAAUAAUACACUUAUUAUUUAGGAGCUUUUUUUCAUAUAUUUUUUGGCCGCAUGUGUAUAUUUUAAGAAGUGUCUGUUCAUGUCCUUCGCCACUUUUUAACAGUGUUAUUUGUGUUUGUCUUUUAAAUUUGUUUAAGUUACAUGUAGCUUCUGGAUAUUAGACCUUUGUCCAAUAGAUAGAUUGCAAAAAUUGUCUCCCCUUCUGUAGGUUGUCUGUUCACUCUGAUGAUGGUUCCGUUUGCUGUGUGGAAGCUCUUAAGUUGGAUUAAAUUCCAGUCGUCAAUUUCUGCUUUUGUUAUAAUUGCUUUUGGAGAUUUCAUCAUGAAAUCUUUGCCCAUACCUAUGUCUUCAACGGUAUUGCCUAGAUUUUCUUCUAGGGUUUUUAUUUUAAAUUUAUACUUUAAGUUCUGGGGUACAUGUGCAGAAUAUACAGGUUUGUUACAUAGGUAUAAAUGUGCCAUGGUGGUUUGCUGCACCUAUCAACCCAUCAUCUAUAUUAGGUAUUUCUCCUAAUGCUCUCCCUCCUCUAGCCCCCGCUGUGUGUGAUAUGCCCCUCCCUGUGUCUAUGUGUUUUCAUUUUUCAACUCCCACUUAUGAGUGAGAACAUGUGGUGUUUGGUUUUCUGUUCCUGUGUUAGUUUGCUGAGAGUGAUGGUUUCCAGCUUCAUCAUGUCCCUGCAAAGGACAUGAACUCAUCCUUUUUUAUGGCUGCAUAGUAUUCCAUGGCAUAUAUGUGCCACAUUUUCUUUAUCCAUUCUAUCAUUGAUGGGCAUUUGGGUUGGUUCCAAGUCUUUGCGAUUGUGAAUGGUGCCACAAUAAAAAUAUAUGUGUGUGUGUGUGUGUGUGUGUGUGUGUGUCUUUAUCGGAGAAUGAUUUAUAAUCCUUUGGGUGUAUACCCAGUAAUGAGAUUACUGGGUCAAAUGGUAUUUCUAUGACCAGUGAUGAUGAGCUUUUUUUCAUAUGUUUGUUGGCUGUAUAAAUGUCCUCUUUUGAGAAGUGUCUGUUCUGAUGGGGUUGUUCGUUGCUUGUAAAUUUGCUUAAGUUCCUUGUAGAUUCUGGAUAUUAGCCCUUUGUCAGAUGGAUAGAUUGAAAAAAUUUUCUCCCAUUCUGUUUGUUGCCUGUUCACUCUGAUGAUAGUUUCUUUUGCUACAUAGAAGCUCUUUAGUUUAAUUAGACUCCAUUUGUCAAUUUUGGCUUUUGUUGCCAUUGCUUUUGGUGUUUUCUCAUGAAGUCCUUGCCCAUGCCUAUGUCCUGAAUGGUAUUGCCUAGAUUUUCUUCUGUGGUUUUUAGGGUUUUAGGUCUUAAGUCCUUAAUCCAUCUUGAGUUAAUUUUUGUAUAAGGUAUAUGGAAGGAGUCCACUUUCAGUUUUCUGCAUAUGGCUAGCCAGAUUUCCCAACACCAUUUAUUAAAUAGGGUAUGCUUUCCCCAUUGCUUGUUUUUGUCAGGUUUGUCAAAGAUCAGAUGGUUGUAGAUGUGUGGUGUUAUUUCUGAGGCCUCUGUUCUGUUUCAUUGGUCUAUAUAUCUGUUUUGGUACCAGUACCAUGCUGUUUUGGUUACUGUAGACUUGUAGUAUAGUUUGAAGUCAGGUAGAGUGAUGCCUCCAGCUUUGCUCAUUUUGCUUAGGAUUGUCUUGACUAUGCAGGCCAAGACAUACAUUUCAUAUGGAAUUUAAAGUAGUUUUUCCCAAUUCUGUGAAGAAGGUCAAUGAUAGCUUGAUGGGAAUGGAAUGGAAUCAAUAAAUUACUUUGGGCAGUUUGGCCAUUUUCACGAUAUUGAUUCUUCCUAUCCAUGAGCAUGGAAUGUUUUUCCAUUUGCUUGUGUCUUCUCUUAUUUCCUUGAGCAGCUCUUAGCAGUCGUCCUUGAAGAGGUCCUUCACAUCUCUUGUAAGUUGUAUUCCUAGGUUUUUAAUUCUCUUUGUAGCAAUUGUGAAUGGGAGUUCACUCAUGAUUUGGCUCUCUGUUUGUCUGUUAUUGGCAUGUAGGAAUGCUUGUGAUUUUUGCACAUUGAUUUUUUAUCCUGAGAAUUUGCUGAAGUUGCUUAUCAGCUGAGGACACUUUGGGCUGAUACGAUGGGGUUUUCUAAAUAUACAAUCAUGUCAUCUGCAAACAGAGACGAUUUGACUUCCUCUCUUCCUAUUUGAAUACCCUUUAUUUCUUUCUCCUGCCUGAUUGCCCUGGCCAGAACUUCCAAAACUAUGUUGAAUAGGAGUGGUGAGAGAGGGCAUCCUUGUCUUGUGCUGGUUUUCAAAGGGAAUGCUUCCAGUUUUUGCCCAUUUGAUAUGAUAUUGACUGUGGGUUUGUCAUAAGUAGCUCUUAUUAUUUUGAGAUACGUUCCAUCAGUACUUAGUUUAUUGAGAGUUUUUAGCAUGAAGAGGUGUUGAAUCUUGUCAAAGGACUUUUUUACAUCUAUCGAAAUAAUCAUGUGGUUUUUGUCACUGGUUCUGUUUAUGUGAUGGAUUACAUUUAUUGAAUUGUGUAUGUUGAACCAGCCUUGCAUCCCUGGUAUGAAGCCGACUUGAUCAUGGUAGAUAAGCUUUUUGAUGUGCUGCUGGAUUCGGUUUGCCAGUAUUUUAUUGAGGAUUUUCGCAUUGAUGUUCAUCCAGGAUUUUGUCCUGAAAACUUUUUUUCUUGUUUCUCUGACAGGUUUUGAUAUCAGGAUAAUGCUGGCUUCAUAAAAUGAGUUAGGGAGGUUUCCCUCUUUUUCUACUGUUUGGAAUAGUUUCAGAAGGAAUGGUAUCAGCUCCUCUUUGUACUUCUGGUAGAAUUCGGCUGUGAAUCAGUCUGUUCCUGGACUUUUUUUGGUUGAAAGGUUAUUAAUUACUGCCUCAAUUUCACAACCUAUUAUUUGUCUAUUCAGGGAUUUGACUUCUUCCUGGUUUAGACUGGGAGGGUGUAUGUGUCCAGGAAUUUAUCCAUUUCUUCUAGAUUUUCUAGUUUAUUCAUGUAGAGGUGUUUAUAGUAUUCUCUGAUGGUAGUUUGUAUUUCUGUGGGAUCAGUGGUGAUAUCCCCUUUAUCAUUUUUUAUUGUGUCUAUUUGAUUCUUCUCUCUCUUCUUCUUUAUUACUCUGGCUAGCGGUCUAUCUAUUUUGUUGAUCUCAAAAAAACAGGUUCUAGAUUCAUUUAUUUUUGGAGGGUUUUUUGUGCCUCUAUCUCCUUCAGUUCUGCUCUGAUCUUAGUUAUUGUCUUCUGCUAACUUUUGAAUUUCUUUGCUGUUGCUUCUAUAGUUCUGUUAAUUGUGAUGUUAGGGUGUCAAUUUUAUAUCUUUCCUGCUUUCUUUUGUGGGCAUUUACUGCUAUAAAUUUCCCUCUACACACUGCUUGAAAUGUGUCCCAGAGAUUCUGGUACAUUGUGUCUUUGUUCUGAUUGGUUUGAAAGAAUGUCUUUAUUUCUGCCUUAAUUUCAUUAUUUACCCAGUAGUCAUGCAGGUUGUUCAGUUUCCAUGUAGUUGUGCAAUUUUGAGUGAGUUUCUUAAUUCAGAGUUCUAAUUUGAUUUCACUGUGGUCUGAGAGAAUGUUUGUUAUGAUUUCCAUUCUUUUGCAUUUGCUGAGGAGUGUUUUACUUCCCAUUAUGUGGUUGAUUUUAGAAUAAGUGCAAUGAGGUGCUAAGAAGAAUGUAUAUUCUGUUGAUUUGGGGUGGAGAGUUCCAUAGAUGUCUAUUAGGUCUACUUGGUCCAGAGCUAAGUUCAAGUCCUGAAUAUCCUUGUUAAUUUUCUGUCUUGUUGAUCUGUCUAAUAUUGACAGUAUGGUGUUAAAAUCUCCCACUAUUAUUGUGUGGGAGUCUGUGUUUCUUUGUAGGUCUCUAAGAACUUGCUUUAUGAAUCUGGGUGCUCCUGUAUUGGGUGCUUAUAUAUUUAGGAUUGUUAGCUCUUCUUGUUGAAUUGAUCCCUUUACCAUUAUAUAAUGGCCUUCUUUGUCUCUUUUGAUCUUUGUUGGUUUAAAGUCUGUUUUAUCAGAGACUAGGAUUGCAACCCCUGCUUUUUUUUGCUUUCCAUUUGCUUGGUAAAUAUUCCCCGAUCCCUUUAUUUUUAGCCUAUGUGUGUCUUUUUCACAUGAGAUGGUUCUCUGAAUACAGCACACAGAUGUGUCUUGACUCUUUAUCCAAUUUGCCAGCCUGGUGGUGAUGACAAAAUCUCUCAGCAUUUGUUUGUCUGUAAAGGCUUUUAUUUCUCCUUCACUUAUGAAGCUUAGUUUGGCUGGAUAUGAAAUUCUGGGUUGAAAAUUCUUUUCUUUAAGAAUGUUGAAUAUUGGCCCCCCUCUCCUCUGGCUUGUAGGGUUUCUGCAGAGAGAUCCACUGUAAGUCUGCUGGGCUUCCCUUUGUGGAUAAACCAGACUUUCUCUCUGGCUGUCCUUAAUAUUUUUUCUUUCAUUUCAACCUUGGUGAAUCUGACAAUUAUGUGUCUUGGGGUUGCUCUUCUCAAGGAGUAUCUUUGUGGUGUUCUCUGUAUUUCCUGAAUUUGAAUGUUGGGCUUUCCUGCUAGGUUGGGGGAAUUCUCCUGGAUAAUAUCCUGAAGAGUGCUUUCCAACUUGGUUUCAUCACUCCAUCACUUUCAGGUACAGCAAUGAAAUGUAGAUUUGGUGUUUUCACAUAGUCUCAUAUUUCUUGGAGGCUUUCUUCAUUCCUUUUUAUUUUUUUCCUCUAACCUUGUCUUGUCACUUUAUUUUAUUAAGUUGAUAUUCAAUCUCUGAUAUCCUUUCUUCCACUUGAUUGGUUUGGGUAUUGAUACUUGCGUAUGCUUCACGAAGUUCUUGUGCUGUGUUUUUCAGCCCCAUCAGGUCAUUUAUGUUCUUCUCUAAAUUGGUUAUUCUAGUUAGCAAUUUGUCUAACCUUUUCUCAAGGUUCUUAGCUUCCUUGCAUCGGGUUAGAACAUGCUCCUUUAGCUGAGAGGAGUUUGUUAUUACCCAUCUUCUGAAGUCUGUCAAUUCAUCAAACUCAUUCUCCAUCCAGUUUUGUCCCCUUGCUGGUGAGGAGUUGUGAUCCUUUGGAAGAGAAGAGGCAUUCUGGUUUUUGGAAUUUUCAGGCUUUUUGCACUGGGUUCUCCCCAUCUUUGUGGAUUUAUCUACCUUUGGUCUUUGAUGUUAGUGAUCUUCCGAUGGGGUCUCUGACUGAACGUGCUAUUCCUUUUUGCUUGUUAGUAUUCCUUCUAACAGGCCCUUCUGCUGCAGGUCUGCUGGUGUUUGCUGGAGGUCCACUCCAGACCCUGUUUUCCUGGGUAUCACCGGCAGCGGCUGCAGAACAGCAAAGAUUGCUGCCUGUUCUUUCCUCUGGAAGCUUUGUCCGAGAGGGGCACCUGCCAGAUGCCAGCCAGAGCUCUCCUAUAUGAGGUGUAUGUUAGGCCCUACUGGGAGGUGUCUUCCUGUCAGGAUACACGGGGGUGAGCGACCCACUUGAGGAGGCAGUCUGACCCUUAGCAGAGCUUGAACACUGUGCCAGGACAUCUGCUGCUGUCUUCAGAGCCAUCAGGCAGGGACAUUUAACUCUGCUGAAGUUGUGCCCACAGCCACCCCUUCCCCCCAGGUACUCUGUCAGCCCCUGACUUCGACUGCUGCCUUAUUUUCAGAGAUGCCCUGCCCAGAGAGAAGGAAUCUAGAGAGGCAGUCUGGCCACAGUGGACUUGCUGAGCUGUGGUGGGCUCCGCCCAUUUCUAACUUCCCAGUGGCUUUCUUUACACUGUGAGGGUAAAACUGCCUACCCAUGCUUCACCAAUGGCAGACAUCCCUCCCCUCACCAAACUUGAGCUUCCCAGGUCAACCUCAGACUGCUGUGCCUACAGCGAGAAUUUCAUGCCAGUGGAUCUUAGCUUGCUAGGCUCCAUUCAAGUGGGACCCACCAAGCUAUACCACUUGGCUCCCUGGCUUCAGUCCCCUUUCCAGGGGAGUGAAUGGUUCUGUCUCAGUGGCAUUCCAGGUGCCACCGUGUUAUGAAAAAAAACUGCGGCUAGCUCAGUGUCUGCCCAAACGGCUGCCCACUUUUGUGCUUGAAAUCCAGGGUCCUGGUGGUGUAGGCACUGGAGGGAAUCUCCUGGCCUGGGGGUUGUGAAGACCAUGGGGAAAACAGUAUCUGGGUCGGAGUGCAUCAUUCCUCAUGGCGCAGUCCCUCAUGGCUCCCUUUGGGUAGGGGUGAGAAUUCCCCGACGUUUUGCACUUCAAGGGUGAGGCGAUGUCCCACCCUGCUUCUGCUCUCCCUCCAUGGGCUGCACCCACUGUCCAACCAGUCCCAUUGAGAUGAACCAGGUGCCUCAGUUGGAAAUGCAGAAAUCACCACCUUCUGUGUCAGUCUCGCUGGGAGCUGCAGACUGGAGCUCUUCCUAUUCAGCCAUCUUGCCAGAAGUCCUCCAUUUUUUUACAUUGGUAGAGUAUAACCCUCAUUGACAAAAUCAACCUUCUGUCAGAAUAACACCUCAUUCUCUGAGGCAAAUGUACUUGUAACAGGCAUAAUAGAGCAUCUGGCAUGUUAGAAGUGUUGUAGAUCUUGAUGUGAAUGGUGUUUAUGAAAGUUUAUACACGUGUAAAUAUUCAUUAAUGUUUAUACUUAAUAUGAUUGCUCUUAACUGCAUUUAUUUUAUAUUUCAACAGAGCAAAAGAAAACAUGAAAGAACUAGAUAUGCAAAAAAAUAAAAUGACAUACCAAGUAUAGUGGUGCAUGCCUGUAGCCCUAGCUUCUUGGGAAGCUGAGAUGGGAGCAUUGCUUCUGCUUAGGCAUUUGAGUUAUGCCUGGGUAACAUAGGGAGACCCCAUGUCUAAAUAGAAAUAAAAACAAGACACAUAGAGAAGUUUGAGAAUAAAAUAUAGACAACAGAAUAAAACCCCACAUUAACAUAAAUCUUGGAAUUCUCUGAAAGUUGUAUAACAGUAAAUGUUACUACAUAUAUAUAGAAAUAAAUUCAAAGGUAAAUAAUACCAGCAUAACAAUAUAAAAUAUUUUAAAAUAUUAAAUGAACAUUUUGCAACUAAAAAUACACUAACUAUAGCGAAUUGCUUAAUGAAUGGGUUUAAUACCAGAUAUUUCAUAGCUAAAUAAUUCAUAAAUUGGAAAAUAAAUGAGAAAACAACAUACAGUCUUAAGAAAAAAAUAUAGAGAAAAGGCAAUGAAGAAGCUUAUAGAGCUUAGGUUGAAAUUAGACUUCCCAAGGAGAGAUAAGAUAGAAUGGAGAAGAAGCUAUUGAACAGAUAAACACCUGGAAUUUUUCAGAGCAGAUUAAAGAUAUUGGGUUACAUAUUGGAGGAGAACUAUGAGCCUGAAACCAGAUAUAAGAAAACAUGUUUAGGCAGAAAAUAUUCAAAAGACUAUAAAACACAUAUUAAAGAAAGUUCCUAAAAAUUGAAAGAGAACAAAAUGCAUUUCCUUUCAAAGUAACAAUACUAUUGCUAACUUCUAAAUAAAAGCAAUGAAAUUCAGAAGAUGAUAGAAUAAUAUCAUCUAAAUGCUAAAAGGAAAUAACUGCCAGUCUAUAAUACUUUAUCCAGCAAAAAAAAUUCUUUAAUGAUGAAGAAAAGAAAACCAGACAGGACUUCGAUAAGAAAAUACAGGACUUGAACAAUACUAUAAUCAGUUGGACCUAACAGACACAUGCAAAGCACUCCACACAACAGUAACAAAAAACCACAUUUUUCUCAAUGCAUAUGGAAACUUCUCCAAGAUGCAACAUAUGUUAGUAAUAUAUGAGUUUUAAAAAGUUAUUUAGGCAGAUAGUGAGAGCACAGGAGUCCUCAGUAAGGUUUUCCUUUUAAUGAAAAGCAGCCCAAAAUACUUUCUUUUCCUACAAAUAGCAGACUGUAAAAUGACUUGCAGACAUAGAGAAACAAGCUGGAAGCUUGCACUGGUGAAUGCCAUCAGUUGUGCUAAUAAGAAAAGGCUGCCUGGGACUGGGCACAUUCAAAAUGUCAGUUCCAUCUUCCCUUCUCUUUGCCAGCCACAUGUACAGUAAGGAGCAGGGAACAUGGCAUUAGUCAAGCAAAGAUCCCAUUUGCAUAAUAAGACGAUUAGGAUGGGAUGGCCAGCUUCCCCAUGCACUAUGUAAACCUCACCCCUGGUCCAACCAAUCUGUGGGCUCUAUGUAAAUUAGACACUGCUUCCUCAAGCCUGUCUGUAAAAUCUGGUUCACUCUGCCAUGGGGCAGAAUUCUUAUUUGGACGCCCCCUCUCUCACAAGAGAGAGAGCUAUUCUCCUUUCUCUUUCUUUGGAAAUAAAACUUCUACUCCUAAACUCACUCCUUGUGUGUGUCCAUGCCCUUAGACUUCUUGUUGCAAGACGAUGAACCUCAGGUAUUUACCUUAGACAACAAUGCAUCUUCAUACUGGGGGUGUGUCCAGGAUCCCAAGGUACUUUCAUUGGAAUGUUGAAUACAGGAGUGAAACUCAACUCUGUCCUUUCAUUUCAAGGCUCUCAGCCUCCAUUUUAGAAUCAAAUCAUACCAAAUACUGGGCUCCCUUCAGUCAUUUAAAAAUAAUUAGCAUGGCUGCCAGCUUUACAAGACAUGGGGGAGAGGCUUGCUGGGGAAAACAUGUAGAAUCCCCCAGUACCCACACGUUGCUGGGCAUAUUGGCCAUGUUUGAACCAGUUUUCUUUCAGAGGACCUAGCAAUUGAAUGGGGCUGGAAAAAGUUCUGAAGCAACUGAGGAUUUCUGGCGGAAGCUACUCCCUGGUGUUGUUCAAAGGAUUUGGACUGACCUCAUCCUCUGACUGCCUGACAGAGUGUCAGCAACAGGAUCUCCAGCUUUCAUACUAUAAUUUCCUCCAUUCCUGUCUGCAACCACCAUGUCUCCCAUCCUCUCUCUCUUUGUAUGCAAUGCCACAGCAAUUUUACAGUUCAGGGAAGUAAUCUUGUUAGGUAAGAUCAGGAAAUGCCAUAGUAACUGAAGGUGUAGCUCAAGGGAAUGCCGUUGUAAUUUUCUAGGAAUAGAGGGUCCCUCAUCACAGUGAAGUCACUCUCUGCCCUUGGUCUGGAGAGCAUAUGGCAUUUCCAGGUAACACUCUACCCUUGUCUGGAGAGCACAUGGCAUUUGAAGUUCACUCUCUGCCCUUGGUAUGGAGAGCACAUGACAUGUCAUGGUCACCCUGUGCCCUUAGUCUAGAGAUCACAUGGCAUUUCAAGGUCAACAGCGCCACCUAGUGGGAUGGGAAUUCUCUCCAUGAAGCACAUUGUUGGUCCUCUGCCAAAACACUCUAGCCUCCAAAUUCUCCUCCCUUUUUGUGCCCCUCUGCUAGAGACCAGGCUUCAUGCUGCUUCUGUGAACAGGAAAACUCUGCCUUCAACAACAAUUAGGAGUAAAAUGUCCUCCAAAGACAAAGUUGUUUAGUUUCGAUACUGUCCCAUCAACUAGAAAACUGCCAUUUGGUCCCUAUGUUCUUUUAAGGCACCUAUUCUGCCUCCAAUUAAAAUGGUACUGAAAUAGUAAGGGGAUUUUUUUUCUUUUUCUUUUUUAAUUAAAUUAAUUAUACUUUAAAUUCUAGGGUACAUGUGCACAACGUGCAGGUUUGUUACAUAUGUAUACAUGUGCCAUGUUGGUGUGCUGCACCCAUUAACUCGUCAUUUACAUUAGGUAUAUUUCCUAAUGCUAUCCCUCUCCCCUACCCCCACCCCAUGACAGGCCCCAGUGUGUGAUGUUCCCCUUCCUGUUCCAAGUGUUCUCACUGUUCAAUUCCCACCUAUGACUGAGAACAUGUGGUGUUGGGUUUUUUGUUCUUGUGAUUGAUAGUUUGCUGAGAAUGAUGGUUUCCAGCUUCAUCCAUGUCACUACAAAGGACAUGAACUCAUCCUUUUUUAUGGCUGCAUAGUAUUCCAUGGUGUCUAUGUGCCACAUUUUCUUACUCCAGUCUAUCAUUGAUGGACAUUUGGGUUUGUUCCAAGUCUUUGCUAUUGUAAAUAUACGUGUGCAUGUGCCUUUAUAGCAGCAUAAUUUAUAAUCCUUUGGGUAUACGCCCAGUAGUGGAAUGGCUGGGUCAAAUGAUAUUUCUAGUUCUAGAUCCUUUCUGCACAGCAAAAGAAACUACCAUCAGAGUGAACAGGCAACCUACAGAAUGGGAGAAAAUUUUUGCAACCCUCUUGUCUGACAAAGGGCUAAUAUCCAGGAUCUACAGAGAACUCAAACAAAUUUACAAGAAAAAAAACAAACAACCCCAUCAACAAGUGGGCAAAGGAUACGAACAGACACUUCUCAAAAGAAGACAUUUAUGCAGCCAACAGACACAUGAAAAAAUGCUCAUCAUCACUGGCCAUCAGAGAAAUGCAAACCAAAACCACAGUGAGAUACCAUCUCACACCAGUUAGAAUGGCAAUCAGCAAGGGGAUUUCAAGUUUGGAAGUUAAUUGGAACCAUUCUCUAAGGGUAAACGCUUUAACAUGGGCCAUAAUAAGCAGGAUAUAGAGUUCAAUCUAGCAUGCACUAUCCAUUAAAGGAGCCUUGCUCAAAUGCAAAUAUUAUAGUUUUUCCCAAGAUCCAUCCUUCUAGGAGCCACAGAGGCCACAUAAGUCUAGGAAGUCAAAGGGAAAUCACAAGUGGAGGACUAGAGUCACAUGGGUAAGCAUGACUAAUCUCAAUUGCUUAGUUCCUCUGGUCCUGUAUUUUUAAAUGGCUGCAGGGUUGCAAGAAUGCAGCCAUGGGCAGCACAUUAAAUAAGGUGCUGGUACUCAGGAGCCAAGGAGGGAAAUCAGUAGGUGGAGCAUGCCACCACUGUCUUCCCCUCCACCCUAGGUCACACCAAUAGGAAGGAGACUAAAGGGACAUCUUUUUCAUGCUUCCAUUUCUAGAUGAGUAACAGAUCAUCUUCGGCCUGUAGUCCUCUGGAGUGCAUUUGAAAACACUGGGACUCUUUUUACCCUGAGAUAUGAAGAAAAGUGGCUUUUUUUUUCCCACAAAGGUGUGGCCUUCUUACCCACUUGAAACAGCCUAAACUGUGGAAGGAAGCUUUAAUUUAAAUUGUGUCCAAGAAUUAGAUCUUUUCUCCAUAUGGGAGGGAAAAUGGCCCAAGGUCCAUUAUAUACAAGAUUUCUUUGCCCUAUGAGAAAACCCAGACCUUUGCAAGCAUUGCACAAUUCACCCAGCCCUUCUAGCAAUCAUAUCAGGAAGGCCCAAAGGGAAUGAUUCCCCAAGACUAGAAAAGCAACUUCCAGAGUGUAUUAGUCUGUUUUUCACACUGCUGAUAAAGAUGAUAUACCCAAGACUAGGCAAUUUACAAAAGAAAGAAAGAGGUUUAAUUGGACUCACAGUUUCACAUGGCUUGGGAGACCUCACAAUCAUGGUGGAAGGCAAGGAGGAGCAAGUCAUAUCUUACAUGGAUGGUGUCAGGCAAAGAGAAGAACAUGUGCAGGGAAAUUCCUCUUUUUAAAACUAUCAGAUCUCAUGACACUUAUUCACUAUGACAAGAACAGCACAGGAACAACCUGCCCCCAUGAUUCAAUUACCUCCCAGCAGGUCCCUCCCACAAUACAUGUGAAUUCAAGAUGAAAUUUGUGUGGGGACACAGCCGAACCAUAUAAUUCCACCACUGGUCCCUCCCAAAUCUCCUGUCCUAACAUUUCAAAACCAAUGAUGCCUUCCCAACAGUCCCCCAGAGUCUUAACUCAUUUUAACAUUAACUCAAAAGUACAUAGUCCAAAGUCUGAAGUCUCAUCUAAAACAAGGCAAGUCCCUUCUGCCUAUGAGCCUGUAAAAUUGAAAGCAAGUUAGUUACUUCCUAGAUACAAUGGGGGUACAGGCAUUUCAUAAAUACAGCCAUUCCAAAUGGGAAACAUUGACCUAAACAAAUGGGCUUCAGGCUGCGGGGAAGUCUGAAGUCCAGUGGGGCAAUCAAAUCUUAAAGCUUCAAAAUGAUCUCCUUUGACUCCAUGUCUCACAUCCAGGUCACACUGAUGCAAGAAGUGGGUUCACAAGAUCUUGGUCAGCUCCACCCAUGUGUCUUUGCAGAGUAAAGCCUCCUUUCUGGCUGCCUUAAUUGGCUGAAGUUGAGUGACCAUGAAUUUUCCAGGUGCAUGGUGCAAGCUGUUGGUGAAUCUACCACUCUAGGGUCUGAAGGACAGUGGCCCUCUUCUCACAGCUCCACUAGGCAGUGCCCCAGUAGGGAUACUGUUUGGGGGCUCCAACCCUACAUUUGUCUUCUGCACUGCCCUAGCAGAGGUUCUCCAUGACAGCCCCAUCUCUGCAGCAAACUUCUGCCUGGACAUCCAAGCAUUUCCAUACAUCUUCUGAAAUUUAGGUGGAGGUUCCCAAACUCCAGUUCUUGACUUCUGUGCACUGGCAGGCUCAACAUAAUGUGGACAAGGCUUGAGGCUUACACCCUCUGAAGCCACAGCUUGAGUUCUUUAUUGGUCCCAUUCAGCCAUGGCUGUAGUGGCCAGGAUGCAGGGCACCAGUCCCUAAGCUGCAUAAAGCAUGGGGACCUCAAGCCCAGCCCACAAAACCACUUUUUCUUUGUAGGACUCUGGACUUGUGUCAAGAAGGGCUGCUGUGAAGGCCUCUGAAAUGCUCUAGAGACAUUUUCCCCAUUGUUUUGGGGAUUAACUUUUGACUUCUCAUUACUUAUGUAAAUUUAUGCUGCUGGAUUGGAUUUCUCCUCAGAAAAUAGGAUUUUCUUUUCUAUUGCAUUGUCAGGCUACAAAUUUUCUGAACUUUUAUGCUCUAUUUCCCUUUUAAAACUUAAUGCCUUUAACAGCACCCAAGUCACCUCUUGAAUGCUUUGCUGCUUAGAAAUUUCUUUUGCCAGAUAACUUAAAUUCUCUCUCUCAGGUUCAAAGUUUCAUGAAUAUCUAGGGUAGAGGCAAAAAGCUGCCAGUCUCUUUGCUAAAACAUAACAAGAGUCACCUUUGUUCCAGUUCCCAAGAAGUUUAUCUCCAUCUGAGACUACCUCAGCCUGGGCCUUAUUGUUCAUAUCACUAUCAGCAUUUUUGUUAAAGCCAUUCAACAAGUCUCUGGAAGGUUUCAAACUUUCCCACAUUUUCCUGUCUUCUUCUGAGUCCUCCAAACUGUUCUAACCUCUGCCUGUUACCCAGUUUCAAAGUUGCUUUCACAUUUUGGGGUAUCUUUUCUGUAGUGCCCCACUCUACUGGUACUAAUUUACUGAAUUAGUCCAUUUUCACACUGCUGAUAAAGACAUACUUGAGACUGGGAAGAAAAAGAGAUUUUAAUGGAAUUACAGUUCCACGUGGUGGGGGAGGCCUCACAAUCAUGGAAGAAGGCUAGGAGGAGCAACAGGCCAAAAAGGCUUGUGCAGAGAAACUCCCAUUUUUAAAACCAUCAGAUCUCGUGAGACUUAUUCACUAUCACAAGAACAGCACAGGAAACACCUGACCCUAUGAUUCAAUUACCUUUCACCAGGUCCCUCUCAUAACACCUGGGAAUUCAGGAUGAGAUUUGGGUGGGGACACAGCCAAACCAUAUCAUGGAGAAAUCAUCUAUUGAGUGUUACAGCCCUUCCAAUCCCCCUUACCUGGGGCAACCUCCCACUGCACCACCAGGUGCUCUACCCCCACCACCUUAAAAACUCCCCAUUUCUGCACCUUCACACUUAUGCCUACAGGUAAUGCCCAACAGAGGUGAUGCCACAAGGGUUCAAGCUCCCUUCUUAUUGCAGGACCUUAGGCAAAUAAAGGGAGACUUAGGCAGAUUUUUUAUGACACUGUUAGGUAUAUAGAAGCUUUCCAAAACCUAACUCAGGUGUUUGACCUCUUGUGGAGGGAUGUUAUGCUGCUCCUAAUCCAAACCCUAACCACAGUGAAAAGCAGGAAGCUCUGCAGGCAACAGAGAAAUUACGAGAUGAGCAGUAUGUCUUCUAUAGUAGGCCAAAAAGGAAAAGAGAAAAUAAAUAGGGAAGGUGAAGAAAUAGGGGAAAAGCCAUUCCCAAUAAGAAGAGGGGCAAUACCUCUUGACAACCUUAAUUGGAACUUCAGUGACACCACAGAUGAAUGAAAAAGAAAACAGUUUCUAAUGUGCAUAUUGGAGGGCCUAGAAAGAAUUAGGGCCAAAGAUCUUAAUUACUCCAAACUGUCUAUGAUAGACCAAAAGCCAGAUGAGAAUCCCACAGCCUUUAUGGAAAGACAGACAGGCACUAAUAAAACACACCUCCUUAUUCCCCAAUUCAGUUGAGGGACAGCUCAUCCUGAAGGACAAGUUUAUUACACAGGAAGAUCCUGAUAUUAGAAGGAAACUACAGAGGCAGGUUAUAGGACCAGAUAGCACCUUGAAGAACCUCCUGAGGGUGGCCACCAUUGUCUUUUAUUAUAGGGACCAGAAGGAGGUCCAGGAGAAAGAGAGGAAGUAAAAGAGAAGAACAGAGGCUCUAGUAACUGCUUUGCAAACUUGCAAAGUCCAGAAUCCCUGAGGUGCAUCCAUUAGUUGCUAUCAGUGCAGCAAGUCAGGGCACUUUAAGGAGUGCCCAGGCAGCAAGAAGAAACCACCAUGACCCUGUCCAGAAUGUGAUGGGGAUCACUGGAAAUUGGAUUGUCCCUGGAGAUAAAGGUCACUGGGUUCAGAACCAAUCUCACAGGUGAUCCAACUGGGCUGAUAUGUCCUGGGGCUCAAACCUCUGGCUCCAGGAGCUCAAAUGCCACUACAGCACAGGAGCCCCAGGUGAUUCUGGAAAUUGAAGGAAGAAAGGUAGACCUCCUUCUGGACACUACAGCAAGCCUCUCUCUUCUUCUUUCUAAUCCAGGCCUCCCAUCUUCCCAUAACUGUGAGGGGCACCUCAGAAAAAACUCUAAUCUGUUAUUUUUCUUAACCCCUUAGUUGCAGUUGGGGGGAACCUAUUAGUUACACAUGCCUUUUCAAUCACACCUGAAAGUCCCACUCCUUUAUUAGGUAGAGACAUUUUGGUUCACAUGGGGGACAAACUCUUUGUCUCCCCCUGGUAGAAGCUAAUAUCAAUCCAGAAGUGUGAGCAACAAGGAAGAGUAGGUUGAGCAGUAACCACUAGGCCAGUCCAGAUCCAUCUUAAUGAUCCCACUUAUUUUCCCAACCAAAGACAAUACCCCCUAAAGCCAGAGGCUAGGAAAGGGCUAGAAGCCAUUAUUAAAAACCUGAAGAUGCAGGACCUUUUCAAACACUGUAACAGCCCCUGCAACACCCCAAUAUUAGGAAGGCAAAAUCCCAAUGGGGAAUGGAGACUACUUCAGGACCUCUGCCUCAUUAAUGAGGUGGUAGUCCCAAUUUAUCCAGUAAUACCUAUUCCCUAAUACUGUGCUGACCCAAAUACCUCAGGGAACUAAAUGAUUUGCAGUCCUAGGUUUAAAGGAUGCCUUUUCUGUAUACCAUCACAUCCUGACUCUCAAUACCUGCUUGUCUUUGAAGAUCCCUCUGGCCAAAUUGCCCAGUUAACAUGGAUAGCGCUGCUUAGGGAUUUUGAGACAAUCCUCUUUUGUUUGGACAGGCUCUAUCAAAAGACCUCUCUGAGGUUUUCCAUCCUCAGGUCAGGGUCUUGCAAUAUGUGGAUGAUAUACCACUCUGUGCCCCACCUGAGGAAGCUUCCCAGGAAAGCACUGAAGUUCUUAAUUUAUUAACUAACAGAAGAUAUAAGGUUUCAAAAUAUAAGGCCCAGCUUUGCAAAAUCUCAGUGAAGUACUUGGAUGUAGUUCUGUCUGAAGGGACCAGAGCAUUAGGGGAAGAAAGGAUUAAGCCCAUUUUUUCCUUUUCCCUCCUCAAAACCCUAAAGCAACUAAGAAGAUUUUUGGGCAUUACAGGAUUUUGCAGGCUAUGGAUACCUGGGUAUGGUGAGAUAGCUUAUCCUCUAUAUCACCUCAUAAAGAAACUCAAGUGGCUAAAACUCCUCUCUUAAUCUGGGAACCUGAAGCUCAAAAGGCCUUUAACCAGUUACAACAAGGCUUGCUUAAGGCACCAACCCUCAGUCUUUUCAUAGGGCCUUCAAUCUGUAUGUAUCAGAAAGGAAGGGAAUGGCCCUGGGAGUUUUAAUGCAUGCCUGAGGACAGCUCAACAGCCAGAGAUUUAUCUGAGUGAGAAAUUUAAUUUGGUGGCUAAAGGAUAGCCAGCAUGCCUCUGAGAUAUUGCCAUGGUGGCCCUACUGGUCCCAGAAGCCUCCAAAUUAAUCCUGGGAAAGGAUUUAACUGUUUACACCCCACAUAAUGUGGCAGGAUUACUCUCCUCCAGGGAACAUUUAGCUAACAGAUAGCCAGCUCCUUAAAUAUCAAGCUGUCUUGUUAGAGGGUUCCACCAUCCAGGUAAAAACUUGCUCUUGCCUAAACCCAGCCACUUUUCUCCCUGAGGAAACAGGGAAACCUGAGCAUGACUUAAACAGGUUGUGGUACAGACCUAUGCAGCCAGGGAGGAUCUCAGAGAAACUUUCCUAGAAAAUCCAGACCGGACCCUCUUUAUGGAUGGAAACUCCUUUGUGGAGCAAGGAGUCCAUAAGGUGGGAUAUGCAAUAAUCACUCUGAAUUAUGCAAUUGAAAGUGCAUCUCUUGCUUCAGGCCUAAGCACUCAACUAGUUGAACUGAAAGCCCUUAUAAGAGCACUUGAAUUAAGUAAGGGAAAGGUAGCUAACAUUUACACUCACAUCAAGUAUGCUUUCUUAGUUAUCCAUCAUGCUCAUGCUGCCAUUUGGAAGGAAGGACACUUUUGUACUGCCAAUAGAUCCCCUAUAAAAUACCAACAGGAAAUUAACAGUUUUCCUUCCACAAGAGUUUGCAGAGAUGCAUUGUAAGGGACAUAAGAAAGGAGUAGAUAAAAUACCCAGUGGAAACAUGUUAGCUGAUCAGGCAGCCAAGUCAGCAGCAAGGAAGCCUCAGGACAUCAGCACACUUCAAGGCCCUUUAAUCUGGGAAGGCUUCAUAAUAAAUUAAACCUCAGUACUCCCCUGCAGAAAUGGAAUGGGGCACUUCUUUAGGGUACACUCUCCAGUCCUCAGAAUGGCUACAAUCAGGAUGGCAAGCUCCAUUUGCCAGCCUCCAGCCAAUGGAAAAUCCUUAAACUCCUUCACCAAGCUUUUCACUUGGGAAAGGAUAAAAUUUAUCACUGUUUCCAGAGAUUGUUUUCAGGAAAGAGCUUAUUAAGAACAGUCAAACAGGAUGUUAAUUGUUGUAAAGUCUGUCUUAAAAAUAAUUCCCUCAACAGAUGGCUCCUUCCUUCUCAAAUCCAAAGGAUGGGAAACUACCCAGGGGAGGACUGGCAAAUUGACUUCACCUACAUGCCAAAGAUGAAGGGCAUCCAAUACCUCCUGGUAUUGGUAGAUAUUUCCACUAACUAGGUAGAAGCACUUCCAUGCCAUACAGAAAAAUCCUGAGGUAAUAAAAGUGUUAAUUAAUGAAAUUAUUCCUUGUUUUGUCUACCUAAGUACCUCUAAGUGACAACAGCCCCUCAUUUAAGGCAGCAGUCACACAGGGCAUCUCAAAGGCACUAGACAUACAGUAUAAUCUCCAUUGUGCUUGGAGACCUCAGUCCUCAGGAAAGGUAGAGAAGACAAGUGAUAUCAUCAAAAGACAUCUCAGGAAACUGUCUCAUGAAACCCACCUUCCUUGGGUCACUAUUCUUCCCAUGGCUUUACUGUGAAAAUUAACUCAACUAGCAGAAGCCCAACCGCAAGAAACAGGACCACCUUUAUUUAACUCAGAAGAUUUGGUGUUGGUAAAAGCUCUCCCUUCCCUCUCUACUUCCCUAUGCCUAAUCUAGGAAGGGCCCUGAAUUGCUCUUCUUUCAAUCCCCUCCACAGUAGAAGUUACAGAUAUCAGCUCCUGGAUACAUCAUACUAAAGUCAAAGCCUGGAAAACCAAGAGAGCAACCCCUGACAACCUAGAGGAAUGUCCUGGAGAUUAAUGUGAAGAACUAGGAGAUUUCAAGCUGAAAAUCAUAAAAGAUAAGUAAAUGAGUAAGGGCUACUCAUCCUACUUAGUCCCAUGUUUACCUUACCAGAUACAUUUAGUCAUUUCUACUUUUCCUCUUGAGAGUCACUACCAGGUUUUAAAACAUAUUUUGAUGCAUACUUGCAGGGAGAUUUUUAAUUAUUCAUGAAAUUGCAUUUGUAACUUCAUAGACACCCAAAGGGAAAUGUUAUGUCUUGGCAAUGAUGGAAAAUCUUAUUGAUGUGAAAAGUCACUGAACAGGGAAUUGGAAACCUGGAUUUGAAAAAAAUGUCUUCUUCUCAUUCAUAGUAUGAAGAGAUGUACAGAGGUAUUUGGUGGCAAAAAGAUGGAGGAGAGAAACCUUAAUUGAGUGGAACCAAAAAUGAAUUUGAAUAGAUAUGGAGUUGGGGAUGUCUUUCAAUAACCUGCAAACCUGAAUGUUGACAUGGAAUGUUAUUUGGUCAGGUAUGCACCAGAAAAAGAGUUGAAUGUGGAUAAUUAUUAGAGGAAAUUAUAGUAGUUCUGUAGAAUGAUAUAUACAAUGAGAAUAGAACUCAGAGACCAGAUUAUGAGAUUGUUCCUCUCUUUGGCCUCUGUCUUGAAGGAAGUCUGGAUUAUGGAAAUGCAGAUUCUAUAAUAAAGCCUGGCUCUCCAUUCCAAGAUGGCUGAAUAGGAACAGAUCUGGUCUGCAGCUCCCAGUGUGAUCAAUGCAGAAGACAGGUGAUUUCUGCAUUUCCAACUAAGCAUAUACCUGAAAGUGGAAUUUCUGAGUCAUAUGGUUACUCUAUGUUUAAUCUUUGGAGCAACUGUGGCUGGAUCAAAGACACACCUAUAAGAACUAAAAAGAAAAUAUUCCUACAAGAAAACAUAGGCAUAAAAUUGGCUGAACCAUUUUAUAUCCUCAGCAGCGUGUAUGAUGGCUUCCAUUUUUUCAUACCCUUGCCAAUGCUUUUCAUUAUCUGUCGUUUUCACUCUAGCCAUCCUAGUGGGUAAGAAGUGGCUUUUUAUUUUGGUUUUAACUUGUAUUUUCCUCAUGGCUAAUGAGGUUGGGCAUUCUUUCAUGUGCUUAUUGACCAUUUGUAUUAUCCUUUUAUGAAAAUAUGUAUUCAGAUU